This 396-nucleotide ribosomal RNA is filed under the name uncultured Wolbachia sp. RNAcentral describes it as "bacterial SSU rRNA". It matches the Rfam family "Bacterial small subunit ribosomal RNA", at positions 1013 to 1407 of the family's 1533-position model. Lineage: Bacteria; Pseudomonadati; Pseudomonadota; Alphaproteobacteria; Rickettsiales; Anaplasmataceae. The record is from RNAcentral.
GGUCGGUUCGGCCGGAUUUUACACAGGUGUUGCAUGGCUGUCGUCAGCUCGUGUCGUGAGAUGUUGGGUUAAGUCCCGCAACGAGCGCAACCCUCAUCCUUAGUUGCCAUCAGGUAAUGCUGAGCACUUUAAGGAAACUCCCAGUGAUAAGCUGGAGGAAGAUGGGGAUGAUGUCAAGUCAUCAUGGCCUUUAUGAAGUGGGCUACACACGUGCUACAAUGGUGUCUACAAUGGGCUGCAAGGUGCGCAAGCCUAAGCUAAUCCCUAAAAGACAUCUCAGUUCGGAUUGUACUCUGCAACUCGAGUGCAUGAAGUUGGAAUCGCUAGUAAUCGUGGAUCAGCAUGCCACGGUGAAUACGUUCUCGGGUCUUGUACACACUGCCCGUCACGCCAUGG